RNAcentral lists this ribosomal RNA (640 nucleotides) under uncultured archaeon. RNAcentral's name for it is "bacterial SSU rRNA". It matches the Rfam family "Archaeal small subunit ribosomal RNA", at positions 189 to 830 of the family's 1478-position model. The record is from RNAcentral.
AAAUGAUUUAUCGCCGUAGGAUGGGACUGCGGCCUAUCAGUUUGUUGGUGAGGUAAUGGCCCACCAAGACUAUUACAGGUACGGGCUCUGAGAGGAGUGGCCCGGAGAUGGGUACUGAGACACGGACCCAGGCCCUAUGGGGCGCAGCAGGCGAGAAAACUUUGCAAUGUGCGAAAGCACGACAAGGUUAAUCCGAGUGGUUUCUGCUAAAGGAACCUUUUGUCAGUCGUAGAAUCACUGAUGAAUAAGGGGUGGGCAAGUUCUGGUGUCAGCCGCCGCGGUAAAACCAGCACCUCAAGUGGUCAGGAUGAUUAUUGGGCCUAAAGCAUCCGUAGCCUGCUUUGUAAGUUUUCGGUUAAAUCCAUACGCUCAACGUAUGGGCUGCCGGGAAUACUGCAAAGCUAGGGAGUGGGAGAGGUAGACGGUACUCGGUAGGAAGGGGUAAAAUCCUUUGAUCUAUUGAUGACCACCUGUGGCGAAGGCGGUCUACCAGAACACGUCCGACGGUGAGGGAUGAAAGCUGGGGGAGCAAACCGGAUUAGAUACCCGGGUAGUCCCAGCUGUAAACUAUGCGAACUCAGUGAUGCAUUGGCUUGAUGCCAAUGCAGUGCUGCAGGGAAGCCGUUAAGUUUGCCGCCUG